GUGUCAUUGUUUUAUAGAUACCAUAGUGAGAAAGGAUUCAUUUCGCAACACCUACGGCUUCCACUAGAUGUCAACGAUCUUUAUAAAGUUGUUUGAAGCGUCUAUGAUAAACAGAGAGCAAAUUAGAAUCCAAGGAAGUUGACAUGUCAUCACUUCAUUUUUUUGCACCUGCGCGUAAAUCUGAGAAGCGUGAGUUUGUCAUCAUUGUUUAUCUAGACAUAGGAUAGGUUGUGUGAAAAUAUUACUGAUGUUUAACGUUAAAAAUGGACCAAAAGAUUAAUGCUAAACAACAUUUGACAUGUUUGAACGAACGUAAAUAGAUUAUUUACUAGGUUUUUUUAGCUUUUCGGCGUGAUUUUACACUCCCCCCACCACGUUUUGUGGGAGCAUAAUGAACGCUAAGUACUUGGUGUUAUUUGGACAUAAAUUAUGAACUUUGUCAAAAGAAACCACAUUUGUUCUGGACCUGGGAUGCCUUCCGGACCUGGGAUGCCUGCCUUCUGAUGGAGAUAAUCAAAGGUAAAGGAAAUGGAAUGGACGGUAGACUGCAGCGAGUCCCUUGAGCUGAUGAGUGACACCAGCGCUUCCCCAGGGCUCCACAUAGUAAAGAUAAACUUUCUCACUGAACAUACAAAUCAAACGCAAAGACACACAGCAGAACAGACACUGAUUUAUCACUAAGGUAUUGUUUACCUCUUUCACCCACAGGACUUUUAUGUGCUUGCAUAUCUCUGCUUUAGUAUCCUGUUGACAUUUAGUGUGAGAGUCUCGUUUUAUGUGUGCAGCAAUGAAGACACUCACAGAUGUUCCAUGUCCAGGGGAAUAGAACAUUUUCUAUUAUUGUUUUUGUAUACUGAGGACUAAGUUUAAUCUUGGAUAAAAACCUGGUUUAAAGGUUGCCAGGACAACAACCUCUCCCUCAGCGUUAGCAAGACAAAGGAGCUGAUCGUGGAUUACAGGAAACGGAGGGGCAAGCACGCCCCCAUCCGCAUCAAUGGGGC
This 1001-nucleotide long non-coding RNA is filed under the name Salmo salar (Atlantic salmon). RNAcentral's name for it is "lncRNA (ENSSSAG00000088890.1)". Lineage: Eukaryota; Metazoa; Chordata; Actinopteri; Salmoniformes; Salmonidae. The record is from RNAcentral.